Molecule: long non-coding RNA, 375 nt
Filed under: Anser brachyrhynchus (Pink-footed goose)
Lineage: Eukaryota; Metazoa; Chordata; Aves; Anseriformes; Anatidae
Description: lncRNA (ENSABRG00000010262.1)
Source: RNAcentral
CCAGAUUUCUUGACAUGCAAGCAUACCAGCUUUCUAUUCACUGAACUCAAACCAUUGCAGACACAAUUCUCAGAGACAAAAAUUGCAUUUACUUCAGUGUACGAGAAUGCCAAACUGGUCCUUUUGGAGAGGGGAAGAAGUAGUGCAAACUACUGGUAAUCAAGAUAAAUCAAGCCAUGACGUAGAACAUAAGCACUAUGCUCCAUUCAAUUCAGCUAGGGAGCUCAACUUCUUCAGCACUAAAGACCCAGAUCCUGAUUUUGGUUCAAGACCCACACUGGAACAUAAACCUAAUCCAGAACACCUGUGAAGCCACUUUAUGCUAAACUAUCAGUAAGUUUUAACAAUAAAUGUCUAUUAAUCAGUGAAUGACCA